AGACAACUCCGUCAGUGCUAUUUACACUCUGGACUAGCCUUUACCCGAGGUCACAUGCUUGCUGUCUCUUUCCCCUUCCCUGUCUUUUCCUCUGUCUCAUAUAGGUUUUUCCUAAAGAGAACUUUCACAGUAAAUCAUAUGUGCCUGAAUUCCUAUCUCAGGCCCUGCUUCUAGGGAAUUCUACUUAAGGUGGGCCCAAUGUAACGCAAGAAGCAGCAGGAGGCAAAACAAGACAGUAUAUGAGGGCUGCCCGCAGGAGAAAGAAUUGAUUGUCCAGGGCAUUAGUAGAUGGAAUGGGGCUAUGAGCCAAUGAAUGCUGGCAGCUUCUAGACUCUAGAAAAAGCACGGAGAUGGAUUUUCCCUUAGGACCUCCAGAAGGAAAGCUCUCCAUCAGACUUCUGACCUACAGAACUGAGGAUUUCCUACACAGCACAAUUGGGCUCCUGAGACAUCUACACAGUUAUACAUCUGAAGGUGGGUGGAUUGGAUCCCUGGGAAACAGUAGAACUAGGGUGCAGAUGGGGUCUCAGCAACUCAUAUGGGAGUUCCCAUUUGUUCACGCAGGACUUCACACGACUUCUGGAAAUCUCAACGGAGUGAAUCAAAGGAAGCUUCUGCUGUUUCCCUGAUCACUGCCUGUGCUCUACUGGAUCUUCAUGAUGCUAAAGCUGCCCAUGGUCUACAGGAAAGUGGAAGGUUGUUUAUAUUUCUGUUGGACUACAUUUUGGAUUUUGUAAAUUCAAGAGGAAAACAUGCAUCAGAUCCGUUUAUUUAAAGCAAUGUAGUGAUCAGAAGAACAAUUGAUUAUUUAAAGGUAAAUGGAUUUGGUCAGCAAAAUCAAAUGAUCUUGGAAACAUCAGCUUGAUAAACAUACAAAUGAACUUUAACCUGUGCUAAAUGCUUUUUAUUUCCUGAGAAUUAUUGAACAACGUUUUCAGGGAAAGUUAAAUAGAUUCACUACAAACUGUUACAUCUAGACUCUUUUUCAAUUUACACAAGGUUAUAUAUUGUUAUGGCAAAAUGAUACUAUUUUAAUAUAUUUCAUUUCAAUAUAUUAGUUCAGAAACUUUAUUCUGUGCUAUUUACAUUUCAAAUGUCUUAAGCAUAGAGAAGAAAAUUGAAUGUCCUAUUAGGGGAGAUAUUUAAGCAUCUAAACUUUAAUCUUAUUGUUAAAUACAUGGGUUUAGGCAUUUCUUCAAAAAAAAAAAAAAGAAAGGUAUAGAUUUGUAAGUAUAAGUAAAGGCACCAAAUCAAAUCCUGGAAGGGAAACUUCAGAGGGUUAGAAGAGGUUCAAAUAUAUGCAUCAGGAUCUCAACCUCAAAACUUACAUACAGUAGCAUAUUUUAACAAUUGUUAAAGCAUGUAGGAAAGUUCAAGGAUAAUGGUCAGUUAGUUGCUGUACACGGUCAAGUGCUAAAACACAAAUCCAGUUAAUAUGUAUGGAAGUGAUUAUAUGAUAAAGAAUAAGUCAGUUGUGAGCCGCAGAAACGUGUUGUUUAUACGCAAUGGGCUGAACAGAAAAGCGAAGAACCGUAGCUUUACUGUGACACCAAAUGUAAAUAAGAACCUAAAAUGCUGCAAGAAACUGACGACAGCCCCUUAGUUCCUACGUGGACGCUCUGUCUUGAACAAUUUAAAAAUCUCAUCUCCGAGGGUCAGUUAGCUCGGUUGGUUAGAGCAUGGUGCUAAAAAAAUAUCAUCUCAUCCAGAGAGGUUACAGUGAUUAGCUCAUUUAAUGACAAUACUAUUAUUAAGAAUAAGCAUUUAUUAGCAAGCACACUGAUAGGUAUUUCAUAUUUAUUCUCUCAUUUAACCCUUGCAACAAUUCUCAGAUGUUCCAUUAUCCCUAUUUCAAAGCUCUUUAAACUAAGGCACAUAGAAAUAUAAUAACUUGCCCAGGGUCACUCACUGGAAGUGACAGAACCAGGAUUCAGUCAUAAAUCCUUUUGACUCUGGGGAUCAUGCUCUUAACUACUUUAAUCUGUUACCUCUCUU
This 1995-nucleotide long non-coding RNA is filed under the name Equus asinus (donkey). Its description in RNAcentral is "lncRNA (ENSEASG00005030105.1)". Lineage: Eukaryota; Metazoa; Chordata; Mammalia; Perissodactyla; Equidae. The record is from RNAcentral.